This 20-nucleotide microRNA is filed under the name Capra hircus (goat). Its description in RNAcentral is "chi-miR-2331". The record is from miRBase by way of RNAcentral. Lineage: Eukaryota; Metazoa; Chordata; Mammalia; Artiodactyla; Bovidae.
ACCCUGCAGCCAAAGAAGCU